GAUGAACGCUGGCGGCGUACUUAACACAUGCAAGUCGAACGAUGAAGCCCAGCUUGCUGGGUGGAUUAGUGGCGAACGGGUGAGUAACACGUGAGUAACCUGCCCUUAACUCUGGGAUAAGCCUGGGAAACUGGGUCUAAUACCGGAUAGGAGCGUCCACCGCAUGGUGGGUGUUGGAAAGAUUUAUCGGUUUUGGAUGGACUCGCGGCCUAUCAGCUUGUUGGUGAGGUAAUGGCUCACCAAGGCGACGACGGGUAGCCGGCCUGAGAGGGUGACCGGCCACACUGGGACUGAGACACGGCCCAGACUCCUACGGGUGGCAGCAGUGGGGAAUAUUGCACAAUGGGCGAAAGCCUGAUGCAGCGACGCCGCGUGAGGGAUGACGGCCUUCGGGUUGUAAACCUCUUUCAGUAGGGAAGAAGCGAAAGUGACGGUACCUGCAGAAGAAGCACCGGCUAACUACGUGCCAGCCGCCGCAGUAA
RNAcentral lists this ribosomal RNA (482 nucleotides) under uncultured bacterium. RNAcentral describes it as "partial 16S ribosomal RNA". It matches the Rfam family "Bacterial small subunit ribosomal RNA", at positions 28 to 523 of the family's 1533-position model. The record is from RNAcentral.